CAAUAGCGUAUAUUAAAGUUGUUGCGGUUAAAAAGCUCGUAGUUGGAUUUCUGCCGAGGACGACCGGUCCGCCCUCUGGGUGAGUAUCUGGCUCGGCCUGGGCAUCUUCUUGGAGAACGUAGCUGCACUUGACUGUGUGGUGCGGUAUCCAGGACUUUUACUUUGAGGAAAUUAGAGUGUUUCAAGCAGGCUUACGCCUUGAAUACAUUAGCAUGGAAUAAUAAGAUAGGACCUCGGUUCUAUUUUGUUGGUUUCUAGAGCUGAGGUAAUGAUUAAUAGGGAUAGUUGGGGGCAUUCGUAUUUAACGGUCAGAGGUGAAAUUCUUGGAUUUGUUAAAGACGGACUACUGCGAAAGCAUUUGCCAAGGAUGUUUNCAUUG
RNAcentral lists this ribosomal RNA (379 nucleotides) under uncultured eukaryote. RNAcentral describes it as "partial 18S ribosomal RNA". It matches the Rfam family "Eukaryotic small subunit ribosomal RNA", at positions 592 to 975 of the family's 1831-position model. The record is from RNAcentral.